ACUCUCGGCAACGGAUAUCUAGGCUCUCGCAUCGAUGAAGAACGUAGCAAAAUGCGAUACUUGGUGUGAAUUGCAGAAUCCCGUGAACCAUCGAGUUUUUGAACGCAAGUUGCGCCCGAAGCCAUUAGGCUGAGGGCACGUCUGCUUGGGAGUCUCA
This 157-nucleotide ribosomal RNA is filed under the name Primula marginata. Its description in RNAcentral is "5.8S ribosomal RNA". It matches the Rfam family "5.8S ribosomal RNA". Rfam says of the family: 5.8S ribosomal RNA (5.8S rRNA) is a component of the large subunit of the eukaryotic ribosome. It is transcribed by RNA polymerase I as part of the 45S precursor that also contains 18S and 28S rRNA. Lineage: Eukaryota; Viridiplantae; Streptophyta; Magnoliopsida; Ericales; Primulaceae. The record is from RNAcentral.